Molecule: ribosomal RNA, 427 nt
Filed under: uncultured bacterium
Lineage: Bacteria
Description: partial 16S ribosomal RNA
Rfam family: Bacterial small subunit ribosomal RNA
Source: RNAcentral
UGGGGAAUAUUGCACAAUGGGCGCAAGCCUGAUGCAGCCAUGCCGCGUGUAUGAAGAAGGCCUUCGGGUUGUAAAGUACUUUCAGCGAGGAGGAAGGCGGUAAGGUUAAUAACCUUAUCGAUUGACGUUACUCGCAGAAGAAGCACCGGCUAACUCCGUGCCAGCAGCCGCGGUAAUACGGAGGGUGCAAGCGUUAAUGGGAAUUACUGGGCGUAAAGCGCACGCAGGCGGUCUGUCAAGUCGGAUGUGAAAUCCCCGGGCUCAACCUGGGAACUGCAUUCGAAACUGGCAGGCUAGAGUCUUGUAGAGGGGGGUAGAAUUCCAGGUGUAGCGGUGAAAUGCGUAGAGAUCUGGAGGAAUACCGGUGGCGAAGGCGGCCCCCUGGACAAAGACUGACGCUCAGGUGCGAAAGCGUGGGGAGCAAACA